This 255-nucleotide ribosomal RNA is filed under the name uncultured bacterium. RNAcentral's name for it is "partial 16S ribosomal RNA". It matches the Rfam family "Bacterial small subunit ribosomal RNA", at positions 524 to 776 of the family's 1533-position model. The record is from RNAcentral.
UACGUAGGGGGCAAGCGUUGUCCGGAUUUAUUGGGCGUAAAGAGCGUGUAGGCGGCUUGGUAGGUCCGCUGUGAAAACUCGAGGCUCAACCUCGAGAUGUCGGCGGAAACCACUUGGCUAGAGUCCGGAAGAGGAGAGUGGAAUUCCUGGUGUAGCGGUGAAAUUCGUAGAUAUUAGGAAGAACACCAGUGGCGAAGGCGGCUCACUGGCCCGGUACUGACGCUGAGGCGCGAAAAGCGUGGGGGAGCAAACAGG